CGAUCACUUGAUCGCAAAAUCACCUGCCUGUCACGCAGGGGGUCGCGGGUUCGAGUCCCGUCCAGA
This 66-nucleotide transfer RNA is filed under the name Bacteroidia bacterium. Its description in RNAcentral is "tRNA-Asp". Lineage: Bacteria; Pseudomonadati; Bacteroidota; Bacteroidia. The record is from RNAcentral.